This 792-nucleotide ribosomal RNA is filed under the name Andinoacara biseriatus. RNAcentral's name for it is "partial 16S ribosomal RNA". It matches the Rfam family "Bacterial large subunit ribosomal RNA", at positions 1778 to 2837 of the family's 2925-position model. The record is from RNAcentral. Lineage: Eukaryota; Metazoa; Chordata; Actinopteri; Cichliformes; Cichlidae.
CUCGGCAAACAUAAGCCUCGCCUGUUUACCAAAAACAUCGCCUCUUGAACCAUCAACAUAAGAGGUCCCGCCUGCCCAGUGACUAUAAGUUUAACGGCCGCGGUAUUUUGACCGUGCAAAGGUAGCGCAAUCACUUGUCUUUUAAAUGAAGACCUGUAUGAAUGGCAUCACGAGGGCUUGACUGUCUCCUUUCUCCUGUCAAUGAAAUUGAUCUCCCCGUGCAGAAGCGGGGAUAAUAACAUAAGACGAGAAGACCCUAUGGAGCUUUAGGCUCCAGAACAGACUAUGUAAAACACCCUUACACAAAAGGAAAAACCUAUUAGACCCUGUUCUACAUGCCUUUGGUUGGGGCGACCGCGGGGAAACACACAACCCCCAUGUGGAUUAGGAGUACAACCCUCCCACAACCCAGAGUUACAACUCUAAGUAACAGAACAUCUGACCAACUAAUGAUCCGGCACACCGAUCAACGAACCGAGUUACCCUAGGGAUAACAGCGCAAUCCCCUUUUAGAGUCCAUAUCGACAAGGGGGUUUACGACCUCGAUGUUGGAUCAGGACAUCCUAUUGGUGCAGCCGCUAUUAAGGGUUCGUUUGUUCAACGAUUAAAGUCCUACGUGAUCUGAGUUCAGACCGGAGCAAUCCAGGUCAGUUUCUAUCUAUGAUAUGAUCUUUUCUAGUACGAAAGGACCGAAAAGAAGAGGCCUCUGUUCAAAACACGCCUCUCCCUUACCUAAUGAAACCAACUAAAAUAGGCAAAAGGGCAUACCCCUUUAGCUUAAGAAAAUAGCCU